Molecule: ribosomal RNA, 447 nt
Filed under: uncultured bacterium
Lineage: Bacteria
Description: partial 16S ribosomal RNA
Rfam family: Bacterial small subunit ribosomal RNA
Source: RNAcentral
AACGAACGCUGGCGGCAGGCCUAACACAUGCAAGUCGAACGCUCCGCAAGGAGAGUGGCAGACGGGUGAGUAACACGUGGGAAUCUUCCUAUCGGUGGGGAAUAGCUCAGGGAAACUUGGGGUAAUACCGCAUACGCCCGUAAGGGGAAAGAUUUAUCGCCGAUGGAUGAGCCCGCGUCUGAUUAGCUAGUUGGUGGGGUAAUGGCCCACCAAGGCGACGAUCAGUAGCUGGUUUGAGCAAAGGACCAGCCACACUGGGACUGAGACACGGUCCAGACUCCUACGGGAGGGAGCAGUGGGGAAUCUUGGACAAUGGGCGCAAGCAUGAUCCAGCCAUGCCGCGUGAGUGACGAAGGUCUUCGGAUUGUAAAGCUCUUUUAGCAGGGACGAUAAUGACGGUACCUGCAGAAUAAGCCCCGGCUAACUUCGUGCCAGCCGCCGCCGUAA